RNAcentral lists this ribosomal RNA (460 nucleotides) under uncultured bacterium. RNAcentral describes it as "partial 16S ribosomal RNA". It matches the Rfam family "Bacterial small subunit ribosomal RNA", at positions 338 to 795 of the family's 1533-position model. The record is from RNAcentral.
CCUACGGGGGGCAGCAGUGAGGAAUAUUGGUCAAUGGGCGGAAGCCUGAACCAGCCAAGUCGCGUGAGGGAAUAAGGCCCUACGGGUCGUAAACCUCUUUUGCCGGGGAGCAAGGGCGGGGACGUGUCCCGGCCCGGAGAGUACCCGGAGAAAAAGCAACGGCUAACUCCGGGCCAGAAGCCGCGGUAAUACGGAGGAUGCGAGCGUUAUCCGGAUUGUUUGGGGUUAAAGGGUGCGAAGGCGGGCUUUUAAGUCAGCGGUAAAAUUUCGGGGUUCAACCCCGUACGGCCGUUGAAACUGGGUGCCUUGAGUGGGCGAGAAGUAGGCGGAAUGCGUGGUGUAGCGGUGAAAUGCAUAGAUAUCACGCAGAACCCCGAUUGCGAAGGCAGCCUUCCGGCGCCCUACUGACGCUGAGGCACGAAAGUGCGGGGAUCGAACAGGAUUAGAUACCCCAGUAGUC